GACGAACGCUGGCGGCGUGCUUAACACAUGCAAGUCGAACGGAAAGGCCCUGCUUUUGUGGGGUGCUCGAGUGGCGAACGGGUGAGUAACACGUGAGUAACCUGCCCUUGACUUUGGGAUAACUUCAGGAAACUGGGGCUAAUACCGGAUAGGAGCUCCUGCUGCAUGGUGGGGGUUGGAAAGUUUCGGCGGUUGGGGAUGGACUCGCGGCUUAUCAGCUUGUUGGUGGGGUAGUGGCUUACCAAGGCUUUGACGGGUAGCCGGCCUGAGAGGGUGACCGGCCACAUUGGGACUGAGAUACGGACCAGACUCGUACGGGAGGCAGCAGUGGGGAAUAUUGCACAAUGGGCGGAAGCCUGAUGCAGCAACGCCGCGUGCGGGAUGACGGCCUUCGGGUUGUAAAACGCUUUCGCCUGUGACGAAGCGUGAGUGACGGUAAUGGGUAAAGAAGCACCGGCUAACUACGUG
RNAcentral lists this ribosomal RNA (468 nucleotides) under uncultured bacterium. Its description in RNAcentral is "partial 16S ribosomal RNA". It matches the Rfam family "Bacterial small subunit ribosomal RNA", at positions 28 to 507 of the family's 1533-position model. The record is from RNAcentral.